RNAcentral lists this ribosomal RNA (506 nucleotides) under Salmonella enterica. Its description in RNAcentral is "partial 23S ribosomal RNA". It matches the Rfam family "Bacterial large subunit ribosomal RNA", at positions 2211 to 2716 of the family's 2925-position model. RNAcentral also lists the same sequence under 1 other name. Lineage: Bacteria; Pseudomonadati; Pseudomonadota; Gammaproteobacteria; Enterobacterales; Enterobacteriaceae. The record is from RNAcentral.
UGUUUGAUGUUCUAACGUGGACCCGUGAUCCGGGUUGCGGACAGUGUCUGGUGGGUAGUUUGACUGGGGCGGUCUCCUCCUAAAGAGUAACGGAGGAGCACGAAGGUUGGCUAAUCCUGGUCGGACAUCAGGAGGUUAGUGCAAUGGCAUAAGCCAGCUUGACUGCGAGCGUGACGGCGCGAGCAGGUGCGAAAGCAGGUCAUAGUGAUCCGGUGGUUCUGAAUGGAAGGGCCAUCGCUCAACGGAUAAAAGGUACUCCGGGGAUAACAGGCUGAUACCGCCCAAGAGUUCAUAUCGACGGCGGUGUUUGGCACCUCGAUGUCGGCUCAUCACAUCCUGGGGCUGAAGUAGGUCCCAAGGGUAUGGCUGUUCGCCAUUUAAAGUGGUACGCGAGCUGGGUUUAGAACGUCGUGAGACAGUUCGGUCCCUAUCUGCCGUGGGCGCUGGAGAACUGAGGGGGGCUGCUCCUAGUACGAGAGGACCGGAGUGGACGCAUCACUGGUGUU